UCUGGGACAAGCCCUGGAAACGGGGUCUAAUACCGGAUACAACCGCUGACCGCAUGGUCCGGCGGUGGAAAGCUCCGGCGGUGCAGGAUGAGCCCGCGGCCUAUCAGCUUGUUGGUGAGGUAACGGCUCACCAAGGCGACGACGGGUAGCCGGCCUGAGAGGGCGACCGGCCACACUGGGACUGAGACACGGCCCAGACUCCUACGGGAGGCAGCAGUGGGGAAUAUUGCACAAUGGGCGCAAGCCUGAUGCAGCGACGCCGCGUGAGGGAUGACGGCCUUCGGGUUGUAAACCUCUUUCAGCAGGGAAGAAGCGCAAGUGACGGUACCUGCAGAAGAAGCGCCGGCUAACUACGUGCCAGCAGCCGCGGUAAUACGUAGGGCGCAAGCGUUGUCCGGAAUUAUUGGGCGUAAAGAGCUCGUAGGCGGCUUGUCGCGUCGGAUGUGAAAGCCCGGGGCUUAACCCCGGGUCUGCAUUCGAUACGGGCAGGCUAGAGUUCGGUAGGGGAGAUCGGAAUUCCUGGUGUAGCGGUGAAAUGCGCAGAUAUCAGGAGGAACACCGGUGGCGAAGGCGGAUCUCUGGGCCGAUACUGACGCUGAGGAGCGAAAGCGUGGGGAGCGAACAGGAUUAGAUACCCUGGUAGUCCACGCCGUAAACGGUGGGCACUAGGUGUGGGCAACAUUCCACGUUGUCCGUGCCG
Molecule: ribosomal RNA, 700 nt
Filed under: Streptomyces sp. YIM 75720 Cn
Lineage: Bacteria; Bacillati; Actinomycetota; Actinomycetes; Kitasatosporales; Streptomycetaceae
Description: bacterial SSU rRNA
Rfam family: Bacterial small subunit ribosomal RNA
Source: RNAcentral